This 253-nucleotide ribosomal RNA is filed under the name uncultured bacterium. RNAcentral's name for it is "partial 16S ribosomal RNA". It matches the Rfam family "Bacterial small subunit ribosomal RNA", at positions 524 to 776 of the family's 1533-position model. The record is from RNAcentral.
UACGGAGGGGGCUAGCGUUGUUCGGAUUUAUUGGGCGUAAAGAGCGUGUAGGCGGUUUGGUAGGUCCGUUGUGAAAACUCGAGGCUCAACCUCGAGACGCCGGCGGAAACCAUCAGGCUAGAGUCCGGAAGAGGAGAGUGGAAUUCCUGGUGUAGCGGUGAAAUGCGCAGAUAUCAGGAAGAACACCCGUGGCUAAGGCGGCUCUCUAGUACGGUACUGACGCUGAGACGCGAAAGCGUGGGGAGCGAACAGG